UUAUUUGAGAGUUUGAUCCUGGCUCAGGAUGAACGCUGGCGGCGUGCCUAACACAUGCAAGUUGAGCGAUUUACUUCGGUAAAGAGCGGCGGACGGGUGAGUAACGCGUGGGUAACCUACCCUGUACACACGGAUAACAUACCGAAAGGUAUGCUAAUACGGGAUAACAUAUUUGAGAGGCAUCUCUUAAAUAUCAAAGGUGAGCCAGUACAGGAUGGACCCGCGUCUGAUUAGCUAGUUGGUAAGGUAACGGCUUACCAAGGCGACGAUCAGUAGCCGACCUGAGAGGGUGAUCGGCCACAUUGGAACUGAGACACGGUCCAAACUCCUACGGGAGGCAGCAGUGGGGAAUAUUGCACAAUGGGCGAAAGCCUGAUGCAGCAACGCCGCGU
This 392-nucleotide ribosomal RNA is filed under the name Clostridioides difficile. Its description in RNAcentral is "bacterial SSU rRNA". It matches the Rfam family "Bacterial small subunit ribosomal RNA", at positions 1 to 402 of the family's 1533-position model. The record is from RNAcentral. Lineage: Bacteria; Bacillati; Bacillota; Clostridia; Peptostreptococcales; Peptostreptococcaceae.